RNAcentral lists this long non-coding RNA (785 nucleotides) under Sparus aurata (gilthead seabream). Its description in RNAcentral is "lncRNA (ENSSAUG00010001796.1)". Lineage: Eukaryota; Metazoa; Chordata; Actinopteri; Spariformes; Sparidae. The record is from RNAcentral.
UGUGCACAAUAUACUCAGUAAAUGUUUUAAAUAUUUUUUUUCUACUCGAAAAAACAAGCGUACAGGAUUUAGAUGCAAGGAUUUGAUCAGCUACAUUCGCAAACUGACUGGAUGUAACCCUCUGGCCCAAAGUUUGUAUCAGUUACUCUGGAGGAAUGAGAGCCUGUCCAGGAAUCAAAAGGUAACCUAUGUGAUCAUUUGCCUCUAGAAAAUGUGAUUUUCUUCUUCAGGUAAAGACUUGUUAUUUCUCUCCCUGUAGAUCGCAGUAGUUGAAGGCUUGUACAUGCUCUUCAGAGAGCUUUUGCCACAGCUUGGAACAAACCGAGGACAUAGGAUCAUUGAGGACCCUGACGUCUUUGAGUAUUCAACAUACUGCUGGGCACAUCUCCUGUCAGAAGCAAAGAAAGAGAAAACAGAACAUGAGAACUACGCACCAUUUUCUCUGAUGUCUGAAGAAGGCAGACGUUUCUGUGAUCCUGUCACUGUACCUGGAGUACCAGGUGUCUUUGAAAGAGCAGUUGUGCUUCAGAAAAUCCGAGAUGGCGAGAAGAUUCCAAACUGCACUGAAGAGGUUCUGCGAGAAACAUCAAUCAGCAGGGCCACUGAUGUUGAGAAGAUUUUGCUCAGCGUUCACCCGUCAAUUAAAACAUAUGAUCUCUGGAUUUCUCAUGACAGUUUGACAAGUCAGAAGUAUGUAUGAUCAAAUUUCAUGCUCAAGAAAGGAACAAUAAGAUAACACACAGACAUAGCUGUCGACAGAUUCUCACUUGUAAUGCACAGACUAC